This is a long non-coding RNA of Lycium barbarum (goji berry), 3276 nucleotides long. RefSeq lists it as uncharacterized. The record is from RefSeq and is a predicted model, not a curated record. The transcript has 3 exons. NCBI's taxonomy places the organism in Eukaryota, Viridiplantae, Streptophyta, Magnoliopsida, Solanales, Solanaceae.
AAGCACUAAACAGUCAUAAAUACACGCCAUACACACGUUUCACACACCUCACACAUGCCCAGCACACGCCCAACACCCUCCUCUCCUCACACAUGCCCAGCACACGCCCAACACCCUCCUCUUCCAUAUUUAAUUUAUUGUCUUGAGAUACCUAUCUUAUCCUCACUUAAUCCACCCUAAAUACCAGUUAUACCCUUAAAUCCCUAACAGUGUCUAGGGUUUACCUUCUUUUCCUCUCAUAGCCGUACCUCUCUUGAAAAUAGUCCUACCUCACCCCUUUCCUCUUUGAUAGAAAAAAUUUCACAUUUCUCAGACAUGAACAGAGGUUCUGAGUGUUCAAGCUCGGAUUUGUUCGUGUUCAAGCAUAGAUCUAAGACCCCGCACCCUAGUCCACUGCACCACAAAAAGAUAAGUGAUUUUUCUUUCUUGUGAUUCUGUGGUUUUAAACACGUUUAUGAAACUGUACAUAUUGUGAAAGUGUUGUUAGUUUCCUACCAUGUUUAAGAUACUCAGCAUGCUUAUUGUCGAUCUUUGGGCCGUUUAAUUCGGAUUUGUCAUUCUGUGUUCAUUGCGUCGUUAGGAAUCAUGAGUUAGUUAUUUUUUUUAUAGCUGUAUAUGUGUUGGAAAUCAUGUGCUAGCAUCCUAUUUCCUUAUUUGGUUGUAGUAAACUGUUAUUUAGUUUCCAUUCAUGGCUAAUUCAGGAUGCUUGUUUCCAAGCUUUGUUCAAGAUUUCCUUUUCUUCACAAUCUGCAUACCAAUGUAGUUGGACUUAAAGCCCCUAUUUGUCUCGCGAGUAAUAUUUCCUUCAGUUAUGUCUAACUAAUAGUUAAAGUAAGGAACUAUGCCCUUUAAAACUUUUUGUGUGUCAAAAUAUUUAACAGAGCAAAAAGUGUUUACUUUAUGAAAGUGAUAUUCUUAUCCAUUAUAUUUUACUCUCAUUUAGAAAUAAUGUUUAAUGAUAUUAAAUACCUCAUAAGAAAAACAGAUUGUGCCUAACAUAAUGCACGCUUAUGUUAAUAUAAGUGACUAUUGUUAUUAAUCUAAGGUGACAUUAGAAAGAAGUGAAACAUAUUUUGCCUGCUCAUAGAUUAAAAUGGAAACAACAUUGUAUGAAGUGAUGAUCUCUCAUUGUUUUAAAUUCGUUUUGACUUCAAAUACUGUACCUGAUAGCAAUCCUAUUUACGUCUGUUGUGUUUAAUGUUAUAUAUGUUAUCUUAAGUAUCUGUUAAGCUACAAAGUUAAUACAUCAGUGCUAUUAUUGUUUUAUGUAUCUUAUUCUUUUUUUGUGAGAACUACAUCCCUUCCUCUAAUUUCUUUAUUUCCUUCUUUUGCAUGUACACUUUGGAGCAAAUGGAGUCUUAAUUCAGGACUCUCUCAAAACGGAGUCUCAAGAUGAGACUCAACAUAUCCGUUCAUGGAGUCAUCCCGUUUCGCAAUUCUUAAAUCACAUCGGACAGGCGAAACUCGCUAGAGACCCCCUUAUGACUACUUUUCUUUUCUCUUUUAGCGUUCACUCUGUUGUUUUUCUUCCGGUUGUUUUUGCUUAUGAGAUUUGGGUUCAUUUUGGUUUGACGUACUGCUUAACAUAGUAUAUUAGUAAAAUUCUAGUUAAUUAUCUAGGACAUCUUGUUUAGUUAAAUACCCAAAUCAAUAGUAGUUGAAAUUUGAUUUCCAAAAUAUUCAUCUAACCUUGUGAAAAGAUUUAAACUGAUUUAUUUACUCCUAUGUUUAGAUACGCAUAUAUGUCCAGCUUGAUGCUUUUGUUUCAUCUUUACUAUUCUAUUGCGUAAGGAUUCUUACAUAUGGUAUUUAUCUACUUACUAAAUUUUGAAAUAUAAAUUAUUUUAUGAUGUAGUACUUUUCUUAAAAUACUUUCAAUAUAUUCUUUUCAGUUACAUUUAUGCUCAAAACAACACAUUUCUUAAUAAGUUUUAAUCAACCUAAGUUUAGCCGGUUAACCGUAGUUAACGGAUCUUAAAGGAUGCUUAACCCUUCUUUUUAGGAUAACUAAGAAUUCUUACCUAGAAUCACAUUAGUUAAGUAGACCAUUAAUUGAAGUUAAUUUUUAGCAUUUACUUAAUUAAAAUAGGUAUCCUAAUUCUCCUCUAAAAAUAAUUAGGUGGCGACUCCUUAAGUUAGAUAACUAGGAAUCACUAAUAUGUAGUACUCUGCUUUGACCCGGUUGAAAUGGGAUAUAACAAUGAUUUUGCUACAUAACAAAUUCACCUUUCGAUAUCGGAGUCAAAGGGUUCUAGGUCCAGAAGUAGAAGAUGCAAAGGCGCCAGCAACACGAAUCAACUUAGAAUUGGAUCAACUUAGAAUAGGGAAUGGUUCACCAAAAGAAGGCUCGAAUUAUCAUAGAAACCAAGCUUCAAAACAAAUAUUUGGCCAUGGGGGCUAUGAAAGGAUGAAAAAACACCAUGAGGAUGAAUAUUUGGCCACGAGGGCUAUAAAAGAACGAAAGCGCCAUAAGGGCGAAUAUCCGGCCAUGAGAACUAUGAAAGAGCGAAAUGCCACGAGGGCGAAUAUCAAGCCACAAAGGCUACAAUGACUAAAAUUUCCAUGAUGGCAAGAAUUAGGCCAAAAGGAUCGCGACAUGAACAAACGACACAUCUGACCACGAGGGUCACAGCCGACAUGAAGGAUGAAAGAAAGACGAUUUGGUCAAAAGGGCCAUAUCUAUCAUUGCCAUCAUAUCUUCUUAUCUACCAUGAGGGCCAUUGCACGUCUACUCUCCUGCUUCCAUGAGGGCCAUUGCACGUCUACUCUUCUGCUGCCGCUAAGGCCAUUGUACGUUUACUUUCCUGCUGCCAUGAGGGCCAUUGCACGUCUACUUUCAUAUUUUCAUGAGGGCCAUUGCAAGUCUACUCUGCCGUGAGGGCCAUUUCAAUACCAGAGAUUCAGUCACACUCCUACCCAUCACACCGGCCUCCCAGUUUGAUAGCCAGGAAAGUCAAGAAUUUGUUUAAUUUGUAUUUUUAGAAGUCAUAAUUGAGUCGAACUAUAGGUAGCCUGAAUUCUCAUGAAGUCUGAGAUAUAUAGGAAACCCAAAAACUAGGGUCUGGCCAUAUAUUUGAAAAUUGCAUAAAAAUGAGAGGAAGAAUGAGUUGGGUCAAUCAAAAAUCAGGUCUAGUCAAAUUUCGUUGCUCGGGGAUGGCCUACACCAAAGGGGCGGUUGUUGACACCUAAUUUUUGACCUCCCAUAAUUUACUUUAGUCACUCAGAGCCCUUGGAUGCCAAACCGAGUGAAAUAUGCAUUUUUUAGAAGUCAAAAUG